Molecule: long non-coding RNA, 216 nt
Filed under: Hordeum vulgare
Lineage: Eukaryota; Viridiplantae; Streptophyta; Magnoliopsida; Poales; Poaceae
Description: long non-coding RNA (HVUL_LNC015387)
Source: RNAcentral
CUUCUUCUUCUCCUUCUCCUUCUUCUUUUCUUCUUCUUCUCCUCUUCCUUCUUAUUCUCCUCCUCCUCCUCCUCCUCCUCCUUAUUUUACUUCUUCUUCUCUAUCUCUUCUUCUACGUAGCUUAGACUUAUCCAAGAAAGGCUAAAUUGGCUAAUUAUCCUACAAAAUGACAUAAUUAGCUUAGUUAGCUCCAAAAUGUCCUAUUUAAUAAAAAAU